AUUGGAGCACCAUGGAAAACCUCAUCCAGCCUGGACAGACAAAGAUUGACAGAUUGAAAGAUUGAGAGCUCUUUCUCUAUCUCAUGGGUAGUCGUGGCUGGCCAUUCUUAGUGGAGCAAUUUGUCUGGUAAAUUCCAAUAACAAACAAGACUGUCAUACUAACUAGUUAUGCAACACCCCAGUGGUUGUUUAAACUUUCAAAACCACUUUCAUCAUGGAAUGGUCAAACUCUGGAACAGUUUUCCCAUUGAAGUUGUUGAACAGGAGUAUAAAUCCCUGGAAAUGUUAAAAGAAUAUCUUAGGUUGGGAGGGAUGGCUUGAG
Non-coding RNA from Eurypyga helias (sunbittern), 322 nucleotides. The record is from Rfam. Lineage: Eukaryota; Metazoa; Chordata; Aves; Eurypygiformes; Eurypygidae.